CUACGGAGGGUGCAAGCGUUGUUCGGAAUCACUGGGCGUAAAGGGCGCGCAGGCGGUUUGGUAAGUCAGAUGUGAAAGCCCACGGCUCGACCGUGGAAGUGCAUUUGAAACUGUCAGACUUGAGUACUAGAGGGGAAAGUGGAAUUCCCGGUGUAGAGGUGAAAUUCGUAGAUAUCGGGAGGAAUACCGGUGGCGAAGGCGACUUUCUGGCUAGAUACUGACGCUGAGGCGCGAAAGCGUGGGGAGCGAACAGGAUUAGAAACCCUAGUAGUCC
Molecule: ribosomal RNA, 274 nt
Filed under: uncultured bacterium
Lineage: Bacteria
Description: partial 16S ribosomal RNA
Rfam family: Bacterial small subunit ribosomal RNA
Source: RNAcentral